RNAcentral lists this ribosomal RNA (178 nucleotides) under Cortinarius rigidipes. RNAcentral's name for it is "partial 28S ribosomal RNA". It matches the Rfam family "Eukaryotic large subunit ribosomal RNA", at positions 1 to 173 of the family's 3401-position model. The record is from RNAcentral. Lineage: Eukaryota; Fungi; Basidiomycota; Agaricomycetes; Agaricales; Cortinariaceae.
UUUGACCUCAAAUCAGGUAGGACUACCCGCUGAACUUAAGCAUAUCAAUAAGCNGGAGGAAAAGAANCUAACAAGGAUUCCCCUAGUAACUGCGAGUGAAGCGGGAAAAGCUCAAAUUUAAAAUCUGGCAGUCUUUGGCUGUCCGAGUUGUAAUCUAGAGAAGUGUUAUCCGCGCUGG